Cordylochernes scorpioides is the source of this 66-nucleotide non-coding RNA. NCBI's taxonomy places the organism in Eukaryota, Metazoa, Arthropoda, Arachnida, Pseudoscorpiones, Chernetidae. The record is from the annotation of a GenBank genome assembly.
GCAUCGGUGGUUCAGUGGUAGAAUGCUCGCCUGCCACACGGACGCAUUCGAUUCCCGGCCGAUGCA